This 339-nucleotide unclassified non-coding RNA is filed under the name Hevea brasiliensis (rubber tree). Lineage: Eukaryota; Viridiplantae; Streptophyta; Magnoliopsida; Malpighiales; Euphorbiaceae. The record is from RNAcentral.
GCCAAUAACAAAAAAAUUAGAAUUGUAGUGGAAGGGAAAUAUUUAAGAGAUAAUAAUACCGUUGAUUCUUUGCUUUCCCAGUUUCACUAUAAUUCAAUGUUGUAUUUAUUUAUUUAUUUUUUUCGUGCACUCAACUGUUGAAAUAGAGAAACACAUUUUAAUUAUAUGCAUCUGGCGAUAUUCAUUUGCCAUGAUACUAAUAGACCAUUAGGUUCAAAGUUCAAACUCCAGGUUUUUUUCACAAGUUUUUGGUUCCAUGUGGAAUCAGAUUUUGAUACCCUAUUGCUUGGUAUUAUGAGUACUGGAAUAUGAAUCUACACAAUUACAAAAUUGUCAUAA